GCGGGUGUGGCGGAACUGGCAGACGCACCAGACUUAGGAUCUGGCGCCGCAAGGCGUGGGGGUUCGACUCCCUUCACCCGCACCA
This 85-nucleotide transfer RNA is filed under the name Bacillus canaveralius. Its description in RNAcentral is "tRNA-Leu". It matches the Rfam family "tRNA". Rfam says of the family: Transfer RNA (tRNA) molecules are approximately 80 nucleotides in length. Lineage: Bacteria; Bacillati; Bacillota; Bacilli; Caryophanales; Bacillaceae. RNAcentral also lists the same sequence under 1 other name. The record is from RNAcentral.